Non-coding RNA from Agrilus planipennis (emerald ash borer), 145 nucleotides. NCBI's taxonomy places the organism in Eukaryota, Metazoa, Arthropoda, Insecta, Coleoptera, Buprestidae. The record is from Rfam.
ACAUAGCCAAAUCUUUCCCUUGGGAGUAACAGCCUUAUGGUUGAAAUCCCAUUUCGAGGAGGGGUUUUAGUCGGUAGGCGGUAAGGCGAAUCCGACACUACCCCACUUCAGGUGGUGUCUUUUGAAGAUUUCCCCUCCUCGAGAC